This 1254-nucleotide unclassified non-coding RNA is filed under the name Leishmania donovani. Its description in RNAcentral is "gene:unknown". The record is from RNAcentral. Lineage: Eukaryota; Euglenozoa; Kinetoplastea; Trypanosomatida; Trypanosomatidae.
UCCCUGCGUGCUUUCAGAAUUUAGAGCUACUGCGUGCCCACACUCCACACCGUCACCAACCUCCCCCGUCAUCCUUAGGCUAAGCCCAUCCCCACCCUUGUCGCCGGCCACCUCAGUGCGUGAUAGCAGGACCUAGUUACUCACACUCUCUGUUGGGAAGCCAAGAGCCUGCACAGCCUGCCCUCGGGUAACAGCUGCAGGCUCUUGGUGCCGGCAGGACAGGCCUGGGCGGGCGCCGUGCGGAAGAGACUUGCGAUCAUGGCCACGUUUGGACCAGCCCACUACGGAUCGUGUCGGCGAUGCGCUGAUGCCGAGUGCAGCCCGCGGCCUGGACUACGCUGUAUGCAGUAGAACUGCAGUUGGCCGUACGACGCCAAACGGUGUUGGGCGGCCCGGCUCCUUGGCACAGCCGUAGCGCACCAGAGGUAGGUGAGCUGUGAUUGGAUGCGUAUAUCUUUUCACUUGCUCGUGGUGGUGAAAGGAGCACGUUGAUAGCAUAAAAGCACAUCUCCGAUGUCGAAUGUCUCUUUUCCCGUGUUGCUCUUGUUAUCCCGCCAGCUGACGCUCUCCCUUUUUUUCCGUCGCAUGCUCUUCUUCCAAAAGAAGAACGGUAAUACAUGGACGAUCUCCUCGUCGGUGUCUUCCUUCGAAAGCUGCACCGUCGCUUUCUCGGUGCUUGUUUUCGGACUGAUGCUCAUUGUGUCCGUGGUCGUGUCGAGUGGUUCGUUUCUGACCCCCUCAUCCGCUCUCCUUGAUUCAGGGCGGGGGUUUUUGGAGGAGGGAAGAUGGGACUUCCUGUCCCGAAUGGUGGCAACAGCGGCGUUAUGAUGGCACGGUUGAUUGAUCGGAGAUCAUCGGGCACGGUCGAGGCAGCUCUUCACGCCGCUUCUUCCAGUGCACCACAGACUUGUGAAAAUCUGUGAUUGUGCAUCGCUCUCGGUUAGUAUUCUCUCCAUCCCUCAAUACACUUCCUAUGCGAUACAGGGCAGAAGAAAAAAGGAGAGUAGCCAGACGGUGACGGUAUUCCCCUUCGUGUAUGCGUGUGGCAUCGCCGCCAUGCCCUUAAUAUGAGAAAGAGAGGGAGAAGGCAGGACGGCCAGUGGCGGCGGCUCGAUACAAAGGCGCAACGGCGAAUGAUGAUCACCAUGCUACCCCCCCAUCUUCGUUCCCUCAUCGUACCCUGCCCCACACCACUCGCUCGUCUUGCCUCAUCGCAUCUCCACGUGUACAUGCACCGUUUCAUUUGUUUUGAAG